RNAcentral lists this ribosomal RNA (546 nucleotides) under uncultured Glomeromycotina. RNAcentral describes it as "SSU rRNA". It matches the Rfam family "Eukaryotic small subunit ribosomal RNA", at positions 548 to 1098 of the family's 1831-position model. The record is from RNAcentral. Lineage: Eukaryota; Fungi; Glomeromycota.
UUGGAGGGCAAGUCUGGUGCCAGCAGCCGCGGUAAUUCCAGCUCCAAUAGCGUAUAUUAAAGUUGUUGCAGUUAAAAAGCUCGUAGUUGAAUUUCGGGGUUAGUAGGUUGGUCAUGCCACUGGUAUGUACUGGCCUCACUGAUUCCUCCUUCCUGAUGAGCCGUAAUGCCAUUAAUUUGGUGUUGCGAGGAAUCUGGACUGUUACUUUGAAAAAAUUAGAGUGUUCAAAGCAAGCUAACGCUGAAUACAUUAGCAUGGAAUAAUGAAAUAGGACGUUCGAUCCUAUCUUGUUGGUUUCUAGGAUUGACGUAAUGAUUAAUAGGGAUAGUUGGGGGCAUUAGUAUUCAAUUGUCAGAGGUGAAAUUCUUGGAUUUAUUGAAGACUAACUACUGCGAAAGCAUUUGCCAAGGAUGUUUUCAUUAAUCAAGAACGAAAGUUAGGGGAUCGAAGACGAUCAGAUACCGUCGUAGUCUUAACCAUAAACUAUGCCGACUAGGGAUCGGAUGAUGUUAUUUUUAAUGACUCAUUCGGCGCCUUACGGGAAAC